GAGUUUGAUCCUGGCUCAGGACGAACGCUGGCGGCGCGCCUAACACAUGCAAGUCGAACGGAGUUAUUCUGAAUGAAGUUUUCGGAUGGAUUUUGGAUUAACUUAGUGGCGAACGGGUGAGUAACGCGUGAGUAACCUGCCCUGGAGUGGGGGACAACAGUUGGAAACGACUGCUAAUACCGCAUAAGCCCACGGUGCCGCAUGGCACAGCGGGAAAAGGAUUUAUUCGCUUCAGGAUGGACUCGCGUCCAAUUAGCUAGUUGGUGAGGUAACGGCCCACCAAGGCGACGAUUGGUAGCCGGACUGAGAGGUUGAACGGCCACAUUGGGACUGAGACACGGCCCAGACUCCUACGGGAGGCAGCAGUGGGGGAUAUUGCACAAUGGGGGAAACCCUGAUGCAGCGACGCCGCGUGGAGGAAGAAGGCUUUUCGGGUUGUAAACUUCUUUUGUCGGGGUACGAAACAAAUGACGGUACCUGACGAAUAAGCCACGGCUAACUACGUGCCAGCCGCCGCCGCGGUAAAACC
Molecule: ribosomal RNA, 529 nt
Filed under: uncultured bacterium
Lineage: Bacteria
Description: bacterial SSU rRNA
Rfam family: Bacterial small subunit ribosomal RNA
Source: RNAcentral